Long non-coding RNA from Ictalurus punctatus (channel catfish), 1268 nucleotides. Lineage: Eukaryota; Metazoa; Chordata; Actinopteri; Siluriformes; Ictaluridae. The record is from Ensembl.
GUCCCAACUGCCCCUACUGCCACUAACUACUGUCACAACUGUGCCUAACUACAGUCCCAUCUGUCACUAACUACUGUCCAAACUGCCCCUAACUACUGUGCCAACUGUCACUAACUCCUUUCCCAACUGCUCCAAACUGCUGUGUCAACUGUCACUAAAUACUGUUCCAACAGCCCCUAACAACUGUCCCAACUGCCCGUACUGCCACUAACUACGGUCCCAACUGUGCCUAACUACAGUCCCAUCUGUCACUAACUACUGUCCCAACUGCCACUAACUACUGUCCCAAGUGCCCCAAACUACUGUCCCAACGGUCAUAAACUACAGUCCCAAAUGACCCUAACUACGGUGCCAACUGCCCCUACUGCUUCUAACUACACUCCCGACUGCCACUACUGCUGCUAACUACUCUCCCAACUGACCCUACCUACUCUGCUAACUGCCGCUACUGCCGCUAACAACUGUUCAACUGCCGAUAACUACUGUCCCAACAGCCCAUAACUACUGACCCAAGUGCCCCUAACUACUAUCAAACUGUCGCUAACUACUGUCCCAACUGCCCCGACUGCAGAUAACUACUAUAUAAUGUCCCAACUGUCACUGACUACUGUCCCAUCAGCCCCUAACAACUGUCCCAACUGCCCCUAACUACUGUGCCAACUGCCGCUAACUACUGUCCAAGCUGUCCCUAACUACUGUCCCAACUGCAGAUAACUACUGUCCCAACUGUCGCUAACUACUGUAACAACUGCCACAACUACUGUUCCAACUUUUCUUAACUACUGUCCCAAAUGCCCCUUACUACUGUCCCAACUACCCAUAAUGCCGCUAACUACUGUCCCAACUGUGGCUAACUACUGUCCCAACUGCACCCAACUACUGUCCCAACUGUCUCUAAGUACUGUAGUUAGGGACAGUUGGGACAGUAGUUAGCGACAGUUGGGAGAGUAGUUUGGGGCAUUAGUGACAGUUGGCACAGUAGUUAGGGGCAGUUGGGACAGUAGUGAGACACAGUUGAGACAGUAGUUAGCAACAUUUGGGACUGUAGUCAGGGGCAGUUGAGACAGUGCUUAGCGACCCUUGUCACUGUAGUUAGCGACAGUUGGGACAGUAGUUGGGGCAGAUGGGACAGUAGUUAGCCGCAGUUGGGACUCUGGUUAGGGGCAGUUGGAACAGUAGUUUGUGGCAGAUGGGACAGUAGGUACGUGCAGUUGGGAGAGUAGCUUGCAGCAGUUGGGACAGUAGUUUGCAGAAGUUGGGACAGUAGU